UACAUGCAAGUCGAGCGAACAGACGAGGAGCUUGCUCCUCUGACGUUAGCGGCGGACGGGUGAGUAACACGUGGAUAACCUACCUAUAAGACUGGGAUAACUUCGGGAAACCGGAGCUAAUACCGGAUAAUAUAUUGAACCGCAUGGUUCAAUAGUGAAAGACGGUUUUGCUGUCACUUAUAGAUGGAUCCGCGCCGCAUUAGCUAGUUGGUAAGGUAACGGCUUACCAAGGCAACGAUGCGUAGCCGACCCGAGAGGGUGAUCGGCCACACUGGAACUGAGACACGGUCCAGACUCCUACGGGAGGCAGCAGUAGGGAAUCUUCCGCAAUGGGCGAAAGCCUGACGGAGCAACGCCGCGUGAGUGAUGAAGGUCUUCGGAUCGUAAAACUCUGUUAUUAGGGAAGAACAAAUGUGUAAGUAACUAUGCACGUCUUGACGGUACCUAAUCAGAAAGCCUCGGCUAACUACGUGCCAGCAGCCGCGGUAAUACGUAGGUGGCAAGCGUUAUCCGGAAUUAUUGGGCGUAAAGCGCGCGUAGGCGGUUUUUUAAGUCUGAUGUGAAAGCCCACGGCUCAACCGUGGAGGGUCAUUGGAAACUGGAAAACUUGAGUGCAGAAGAGGAAAGUGGAAUUCCAUGUGUAGCGGUGAAAUGCGCAGAGAUAUGGAGGAACACCAGUGGCGAAGGCGACUUUCUGGUCUGUAACUGACGCUGAUGUGCGAAAGCGUGGGGAUCAAACAGGAUU
This 745-nucleotide ribosomal RNA is filed under the name uncultured Staphylococcus sp. RNAcentral's name for it is "bacterial SSU rRNA". It matches the Rfam family "Bacterial small subunit ribosomal RNA", at positions 52 to 779 of the family's 1533-position model. The record is from RNAcentral. Lineage: Bacteria; Bacillati; Bacillota; Bacilli; Caryophanales; Staphylococcaceae.